GCACUAUAAAGGGAACAGGGAGCCAUUUUGGGACGGCUAUGUUGUGAUGUAUCAGAUUUGACUGUAGUACAGUCAGUUCAAUCAAUACCGUGUAGAAUUCACCUAAUAAAUCGGGAUUAUGCCCCUUGUUGCUUGCUGUUUUUAAGGCUAUGGGGACGUCCCAAAUGGCAUGCUAUUCCCUACAUAGGGUCCCGCACACUAUCAAAUACUUGUGAUGGAAAUUCCACCGGGAGGUCAAUCCAUCCCACCAGACACCAUGGUUUCGGCAUCACUGUUCCUUCAGACCCUGAAUGACUGGGGGGUUUAUAUAUAUACAGAGAGAGUUUGACUUAUGUAUUUUUAUAGCUUCCUGUUUAUUCUCUGUUAGUCAGCACCUCUACAUUAAGUAAUGUUCUCUGGGUAUGCACCAGAUCUUUUUAAUAGUCAGCAAGUUAACACUAAAUCAGAAACAUAUUUUUAAAGUCUGAAAUCCCUAAGUGACUUGGUUUAUUGAUUGUUCUCCAGUAACUGUGACAUCAGAUAAAACUAAUUCAGUCUCUCUCUAGUUAAGAUAUGGACCCAGAUAAAACUCAUUCAGUCUGUCUCUAGUUAAGAUAUGGACCCAGAUAAAACUCAUUCAGUCUGUCUCUAGUUGUUAAGAUAUGGACCCAGAUAAAACUCAUUCAGUCAGUCUCUAGUUAAGAUAUGGACCCAGAUAAAACUCAUUCAGUCUGUCUCUAGUUAAGAUAUGGACCCAGAUAAAACUCAUUCAGUCUGUCUCUAGUUAAGAUAUGGACCCAGAUAAAACUCAUUCAGUCUGUCUCUAGUUAAGAUAUGGACCCAGAUAAAACUCAUUCAGUCUGUCUCUAGUUAAGAUAUGGACCCAGAUAAAACUCAUUCAGACAGUCUCUAGUUAAGAUAUGGGCCCAGAGGUCAACUGAUAUGUUUAGCACUUUUAAAAUAAAUGUUUAGGUUAAAAGCUAAACUGACCUAAGUUCAGUGUCUUGGGGUGUCUUCAGUGGUCGCUAACCCUGGUCUAGAAGGGCUGCAGUGUGUGUGUGUGUGUGUAGGUUUUUAUUCCUGCCCGGCACUAACACACAUCAUUCAGCUAACCAAGGUUUUGAUGAUUCUGAUAAACAUAAAAGCAGGUGUGUUAGUGCUGGGCUGGACCAAAAGCCUGCACCCUGUACCUCUCCGUGACCAGGGUUGGCCAGCCUUGUCCUACAUGGUCUGAACAGAAGCACAUGUGAUGUGAGAUUCUUCCCAGGAGGUUUUCAUUGAUCAUCAGGAGGCUAUGAUAGAAUCAGAACUCUCUCAUUCUAUGGAGAGAAUUAGAAUUCUGUUCACUCCAUUCUGGAGCCUCUACUGCUACACAACCGGUUGUAUUCUGUUCUGUCACACUUCUCUUUCUCUGUUGUCUGCAAGGAGAUAUACUGUUCAUUCAAAUAUUCUCUAUUGAAUUUAAAGGCAAUAUUUUAACUUGGAUCAAUUACUGGAGAUGAUAUGAUGUAGAAAUGAAUAAAGUAUUUAAAAAUGUAAAAGAAAAUUGCAUGUCUGUUGUGUGUGUAUGUUUUCUUUGUAAAUGAAUGUCUUAUCUUUUAAAAUAUAUUAAUUCCACUACUGUUUAGAUAAUACAUUAGCUUCCAUGCCAUGCUGUGAACAUCAAGCAAAGAUAUCAGGCAGGAUAAGGUGGUUGAGGAGGUGUUUAGUCC
Molecule: long non-coding RNA, 1691 nt
Filed under: Salmo salar (Atlantic salmon)
Lineage: Eukaryota; Metazoa; Chordata; Actinopteri; Salmoniformes; Salmonidae
Description: lncRNA (ENSSSAG00000120032.1)
Source: RNAcentral